This 123-nucleotide small nucleolar RNA is filed under the name Ricinus communis (castor bean). RNAcentral describes it as "Small nucleolar RNA SNORD14". It matches the Rfam family "Small nucleolar RNA SNORD14". From Rfam's summary of the family: U14 small nucleolar RNA (U14 snoRNA) is required for early cleavages of eukaryotic precursor rRNAs. In yeasts, this molecule possess a stem-loop region (known as the Y-domain) which is essential for function. The record is from Rfam by way of RNAcentral. Lineage: Eukaryota; Viridiplantae; Streptophyta; Magnoliopsida; Malpighiales; Euphorbiaceae.
UGUUGAUGAUGACAGAUCCAAAGGCUUGUUUCUCAAAACAUUCGCAGUGGCCGCCUAAAGCUUUCGCCUUCGCCAGGCUUGAGAGUUAAUGCUGCUACAUUCCUUCCUUGGAUGUCUGAAAUC